UUGAAACACCCUAGGAAGAGGGGGAGGGGGGGAAAGGUUAUUUUAAAUACCGGACAAAGUUUAGGGUACUGGACAGGAUAGGGAAGACUGAGAAGUGAAAACUGAACGGGGCCUCCAAUAUGUUCUUUGAAGGCAUGAGGCAGAGCUAGGAAUAAGAAAUGUGUGAAGUGUAAAGCAGGAAGAGUGACGGAAGACUCGACUCCUUUCUUUUCAGUCGCCCAUUCCGGAGGACCGUUUUCCUCUGUGCUGUGGCCAUUUCAGGAACAGGAGGGACAGGGUGCAAGGGCUGGUGACGGAAGGCCAGAGGGGCAGUGCUUGGGGCAGUGGGCACAGGUGUCUGACAGAAAAAUGGAAUGUUUUUCAUGCACCUCUCUUCCUCGGCUGGGACUCUAGAAUGUUCACUCUACUCCGCGCCACCUCCAGGAAGACUUAAGUAUUUCAUUGAUGAUGUCAAUAGCUGUUCUGACUGGGUGGAAGUAAUGAAAAUGGAUUAUCCUAGAAAGUUUUAGGGUGACAGUCUCCCUUCCUCUCCAGAGUCACCUUUGAGACUGUCCUUUCAUCUGGCUGUCAUGGAUGGAGCCUGUGCCACACUCAGAGGCAGUCAGUGGUGGUAGCAGACAAGUUUUAUUUUUCAUCUGACCACUGUGAUGACAACUGGACUAAUAUGACCAUAGAAGACACAACUGUAUUUUCCUAAAAUAAGCGCACAUGAAUUGUUGGAAGAGUCGUCUCUUGUGACAGCUAAUGUGAAGCUAGUACAAAGCAUAUCAGCUGCAAAUAGAAACAUUCAGUAUAUGUGAAGACAAAAUUUGGAUGUGGUCACUUGAAGAAUCACCUGUCAGGUGCCCAACUCAACUUCCCUGUUCUCUAGUCCCCAGCUGAUAGCAUCUUGGGCUAAGUGACAAGCUCCAUAGGUAUCUGGAGCAGGAAUUGCUCUGGAAAUUCCUCAGUCCCCUUCUGUAACGGAUAGUGUUCUGCAGCUGGCUGCUGACAUAGACAGCCAUGUGGUAGAUCACCUUUGUGGUUGUCUUCAGUACCUUGUAGAUGAGCAGUGAGUACUCAUUGUUCUUCCAUGUACUCACUGCCUCCAAGACAGAAGAGAAUAACUCCAUUUCAUCUAGAUCCCCUUUGGAGAAGCCAGGGACAGAUCUACUUUAAUGUAGAGUUGACUGGCCAAAUAGUCUCUGGAAGCUCCAGGCGGCACCUGUUCAUCCCAAGGAUGACUGAGAUUGUUUUAAACAAUCAGCUCUUAUGGAAACCAAUACACCAAGAACUCACUCAUUACUGCAAGGAUGGCACCAAGCCAUUUUGGAGGGAUUCACUUGCAUAACCCAAACAUCUCCCAUUAGACCCCACCUUUCACACUGGGGAUCAAAUAUCAACAUGAUCAAACCAAACUAUAGCAGGUGAGAGAAAUUUGGCUCAAGAAGGUUAUAUUCCUGCCCAAGAUCACGUAGCUCAAAGGUAGGCCUCUGGUUCUAAGCCUUUGCUUUCUCAUUAUUUCAUAGUUCCUUAACUAUUUAUAAACUAGGAUCAAAUAAUGUUUUUAUAUUGUGAGAAAUAGAUUUAUGUAUAUCCCUGGAAAUACUGCUUCAAUUAUUUAGGGUGACUAUUUCAAAUCUAUAGCUGCAGAGAAUGUAAGUGUAUAUUGUUUUGAAAAUGUAAGUGAUUGAUAUAGAAAUUAUGCAUUUUGUUGCUGCAGCAUUAUGUAGCGUUGUGUCCCAAAACAUUAUGCAAGACAUCAAUGACUCAGCUAUUCUCCUGAGUUAUAUACCUUUCUUGUAAGUUAAGCACUUUUAAUAUGUGUAUAUGCAUUUUCUAUAUAUCUGUAAUUUUUGUGUCUUACAUAGCAUUCUAUUUGUGA
This is a non-coding RNA of Microcebus murinus (gray mouse lemur), 1864 nucleotides long. The record is from RefSeq and is a predicted model, not a curated record. NCBI's taxonomy places the organism in Eukaryota, Metazoa, Chordata, Mammalia, Primates, Cheirogaleidae.